AUCAUUACAGAGUUACUACUCCAAACCCAUUGUGAACCUUACCUAUGUUCUGUUGCCUCGGCGGCGUCGGUCAGCGCCCCUCUGAAAAGAGGACGAUGCCCCUCCCGCCGGCAGCACCAAACUCUUGAAUUUUACAGCGGAUUACAGUUCUGAUUUGAAAACAAAAAACAAGUUAAAACUUUCAACAACGGAUCUCUUGGUUCUGGCAUCGAUGAAGAACGCAGCGAAAUGCGAUAAGUAAUGUGAAUUGCAGAAUUCAGUGAAUCAUCGAAUCUUUGAACGCACAUUGCGCCCGGCAGUAAUCUGCCGGGCAUGCCUGUCCGAGCGUCAUUUCAACCCUCGAACCUCCGUUUCCUUAGGGAAGCCUAGGGUCGGUGUUGGGGCGCUACGGCGAGUCCUCGCGACCCCCGUAGGCCCUGAAAUACAGUGGCGGUCCCGCCGCGGUUGCCUUCUGCGUAGUAAGUCUCUUUUGCAAGCUCGCAUUGGGUCCCGGCGGAGGCCUGCCGUCAAACCACCUAACAACUCCAGAUGGUUUGACC
Molecule: ribosomal RNA, 539 nt
Filed under: Scedosporium apiospermum
Lineage: Eukaryota; Fungi; Ascomycota; Sordariomycetes; Microascales; Microascaceae
Description: eukaryotic LSU rRNA
Rfam family: 5.8S ribosomal RNA (bases 177-330)
Source: RNAcentral